RNAcentral lists this ribosomal RNA (467 nucleotides) under uncultured bacterium. Its description in RNAcentral is "partial 16S ribosomal RNA". It matches the Rfam family "Bacterial small subunit ribosomal RNA", at positions 28 to 507 of the family's 1533-position model. The record is from RNAcentral.
GACGAACGCUGGCGGCGUGCUUAACACAUGCAAGUCGAACGGAAAGGCCCUGCUUUUGUGGGGUGCUCGAGUGGCGAACGGGUGAGUAACACGUGAGUAACCUGCCCUUGACUUUGGGAUAACUUCAGGAAACUGGGGCUAAUACCGGAUAGGAGCUCCUGCUGCAUGGUGGGGGUUGGAAAGUUUCGGCGGUUGGGGAUGGACUCGCGGCUUAUCAGCUUGUUGGUGGGGUAGUGGCUUACCAAGGCUUUGACGGGUAGCCGGCCUGAGAGGGUGACCGGCCACAUUGGGACUGAGAUACGGCCCAGACUCCUACGGGAGGCAGCAGUGGGGAAUAUUGCACAAUGGGCGGAAGCCUGAUGCAGCAACGCCGCGUGCGGGAUGACGGCCUCGGGUUGUAAACCGCUUUCGCCUGUGACGAAGCGUGAGUGACGGUAAUGGGUAAAGAAGCACCGGCUAACUACGUG